UCCGUAGGUGGAUAAUUAAGUCAGGGGUGAAAGUCUGCAGCUCAACUGUAGAAUUGCCUUUGAUACUGGUUAUCUUGAAUUAUUAUGAAGUAGUUAGAAUAUGUAGUGUAGCGGUGAAAUGCAUAGAUAUUACAUAGAAUACCAAUUGCGAAGGCAGAUUACUAAUAAUAUAUUGACACUGAUGGACGAAAGCGUGGGGAGCGAACAGGAUUAGAUACCCUGUAGUCC
This 228-nucleotide ribosomal RNA is filed under the name uncultured bacterium. Its description in RNAcentral is "partial 16S ribosomal RNA". It matches the Rfam family "Bacterial small subunit ribosomal RNA", at positions 568 to 796 of the family's 1533-position model. The record is from RNAcentral.